Molecule: transfer RNA, 72 nt
Filed under: Parribacus antarcticus
Lineage: Eukaryota; Metazoa; Arthropoda; Malacostraca; Decapoda; Scyllaridae
Description: tRNA-Val
Rfam family: tRNA
About the family: Transfer RNA (tRNA) molecules are approximately 80 nucleotides in length. Their secondary structure includes four short double-helical elements and three loops (D, anti-codon, and T loops).
Source: RNAcentral
UAAAAUAAAGCUUUAUAGUUAAGCAUUUCACUUACGUUGAAAAGGAUUAUCGUGCAAAUCGAUUUGUUUUAA